GGGCUUCGCAGGCGGUUUUUUAAGUUCUGAGGUUGAAAGCCCCCGGCUUAACCGGGGAGGGUCAUUCGGAAACUUGGGAAACUUGAGUUGCAGAAGAGGAGAGUGGAAUUUCCACGUGUAGCGGUGAAAUGCGUAGAGAUGUGGAGGAACACCAGUGGCGAAGGCGACUCUCUGGUCUGUAACUGACGCUGAGGAGCGAAAGCGUGGGGAGCGAACAGGAUUAGAUACCCUGGUAGUCCACGCCGUAAACGAUGAGUGCUAAGUGUUAGGGGGUUUCCGCCCCUUAUUGCUGCAGCUAACGCAUUAAGCACUCCGCCUGGGGAGUACGGUCGCAAGACUGAAACUCAAAGGAAUUGACGGGGGCCCGCACAAGCGGUGGAGCAUGUGGUUUAAUUCGAAGCAACGCGAAGAACCUUACCAGGUCUUGACAUCCUCUGACAACCCUAAAGAUAGGGCUUUCCCUUCGGGGACAGAGUGACAGGUGGUGCAUGGUUGUCGUCAGCUCGUGUCGUGAGAUGUUGGGUUAAGUCCCGCAACGAGCGCAACCCUUGAUCUUAGUUGCCAGCAUUCAGUUGGGCACUCUAAGGUGACUGCCGGUGACAAACCGGAGGAAGGUGGGGAUGACGUCAAAUCAUCAUGCCCCUUAUGACCUGGGCUACACACGUGCUACAAUGGACAGAACAAAGGGCUGCAAGACCGC
RNAcentral lists this ribosomal RNA (700 nucleotides) under Bacillus pumilus. Its description in RNAcentral is "bacterial SSU rRNA". It matches the Rfam family "Bacterial small subunit ribosomal RNA", at positions 565 to 1258 of the family's 1533-position model. Lineage: Bacteria; Bacillati; Bacillota; Bacilli; Caryophanales; Bacillaceae. The record is from RNAcentral.